Molecule: small RNA, 36 nt
Filed under: Arabidopsis thaliana (thale cress)
Lineage: Eukaryota; Viridiplantae; Streptophyta; Magnoliopsida; Brassicales; Brassicaceae
Description: ATSL144380
Source: RNAcentral
CCUUUAUGCGAAAACCAAAAAAAAAAAAUUCAAAAA